This 441-nucleotide ribosomal RNA is filed under the name uncultured bacterium. RNAcentral describes it as "partial 16S ribosomal RNA". It matches the Rfam family "Bacterial small subunit ribosomal RNA", at positions 338 to 795 of the family's 1533-position model. The record is from RNAcentral.
CCUACGGGUGGCAGCAGUGGGGGAUAUUGCACAAUGGGGGGAACCCUGAUGCAGCGACGCCGCGUGGGUGAAGGAGUGCUUCGGCAUGUAAAGCCCUAUCGGCAGGGAAGAAGCAAGACGGUACCUGACUAAGAAGCCCCGGCUAACUACGUGCCAGCAGCCGCGGUAAUACGCAGGGGGCGAGCGUUAUCCGGAUUCACUGGGGGUAAAGGGAGCGUAGACGGCCAUGCAAGCCAGGGGGGAAAGCCCGGGGCCCAACCCCGGGACUGCCCUUGGAACUGUGCGGCUAGAGUGCGGGAGGGGCAGGCGGAAUUCCUGGUGUAGCGGUGAAAUGCGUAGAUAUCAGGAGGAACACCGGCGGCGAAGGCGGCCUGCUGGACCGCGACUGACGUUGAGGCUCGAAAGCGUGGGGAGCGAACAGGAUUAGAUACCCGGGUAGUC